RNAcentral lists this ribosomal RNA (1545 nucleotides) under Triticum aestivum (bread wheat). RNAcentral describes it as "partial small subunit ribosomal RNA". The record is from RNAcentral. Lineage: Eukaryota; Viridiplantae; Streptophyta; Magnoliopsida; Poales; Poaceae.
AUGGAUUCAUUAGAACAACUCAGACAAUUUCAGGACAUAGUUUGCACAAGGUACCUGACAGACAAUGCGACCCUGCAGACACUAGAGCAAGCAGAUCCAGCAGCCUCAAGUAGACUAGCCGAUGCCAACCGCACAAAUGAAAUCGUAGCCAGAACAGAACCAAGAGAAAGGAGAAAAAAAAGAGGAAGAAGAGAGGAAGAGAAGAACAAAGAAUGUACCAAUAGCACGCCAGGCCAAGAUGAACUCCAACAGCAGGAUGGUGUCAACAACCCCAAAAACACAAAUGAACGGAACAAACAAAGCAACCUCACAACAGACAAUGCUACAACAACAACUACCCCAACACAAGCACAAGAUACGAUCAACGUCAGAACCUGUGAAGAGACUCAGCUGAAGAACAAUCAAGUCAGCAGCCCCGCCAACCAAAUGCAAGACGCUAACCCACAAUCAACCGUUAGCAUAACAAAUGACAAAGAAGAAGAAAACAACGAGGAGGAGGUAUCACAAGCACUGCAAGACCAAGAGACAACCCGUGUUGAAAUUGAACCCCAUAGUGAACCUCAAACAGACGAAGGCGUCACAGAACAGGAACUUUGUGUACAAGAGAUUUCCAGCGCCACAACAUUCCAGAUCACCAUCACGAGUACAAAGGAGAAAGCGCAAGACAUCCCGGCCAAUGAGAAACAAGAGACUGUUAUACCUGACAAAGAAACAGUAGAUGCAGGCACAAAUAACCCAGUCAUCAACACGGAGGAAACAAACGAGUACGCUGAUAUCGAAGAUCAAGAACUUCAAACAACAACAUCUGAAGAGGUGACGUUACAAAGCUCAGACACAAAUGAAGUUCAAUCUAUAAAUUCAAUUUUUAUUAAACAGGAACAGGAAGCAUGCAAAAGCAGUAACAUAGACAUUCAACAAGAAAAACUAGAGGACAACACGAGACAAGCAGAAGCCGUAGUACAAGCAGUAGACAGUCCUGCAACUCCAGAGAUAGAGGCACAAGAAGCUCAAGAAACCAUCAACAAUCAAGACCAUCAAACACAACCAGAGGAGCCUAAUGAACAACCCGAACAUGUUCUUCAAACGAUAGACAAUAAUGCCACUGAAGACCAAGCCACAAAAAAUUCACUCACCAAACAACAGGUACCAGAGACAGGGGCAGCGUCAACGACUGAAAAGAGAGAGGAGACCAAUGAGCAAAAGGAGGACACUGAAGAAGGGCAACAUGUUCUUCAAAAGGCAGUCAUGAACGUAACAGAAGACCAAGCCCCAAAAUAUUCACUCACCGAAAAACACGCAGCAGAGAGGGCAGCAGCAACAACGACUGAAAAGCUACAAGACAAAAAUGACGGCAGCGGCGAUGAACUACAAAAGAAAGAAGAAGAAGAUGCCCAAAAACCUCCACUCUACGAAGAACAAGCACAACAUUCAGCAACAACGAUUGAGGAGAAACACGAAGAAGGCGACCACGGAGAUACAAAGGUCAGUGCCAACCAGGUCGAGACUGAAAAACAAGACGGAAAAGACCACCAGCAAGACACGUAA